This 232-nucleotide ribosomal RNA is filed under the name uncultured bacterium. Its description in RNAcentral is "partial 16S ribosomal RNA". It matches the Rfam family "Bacterial small subunit ribosomal RNA", at positions 118 to 347 of the family's 1533-position model. The record is from RNAcentral.
UGAGGAACAUGACCUUCGGCGGGGGAUAGCCGGCCCAACGGCCGGGUAAUACCGCGUACGACCACAUGGGGACAUCCCUGAGUGGUGAAAGCAGCAAUGCGCCGAUGGAGUGCCUCGCGGCCUAUCAGCUAGUUGGUGAGGUAACGGCUCACCAAGGCGACGACGGGUAGCUGGUCUGAGAGGAUGGCCAGCCACAUUGGGACUGAGACACGGCCCAGACCUCGUACGGGGA